GGACCUCAUUUUUCUUUUUUUAUUUGCAUUAUCAUACAUUAGGUACAAAUGACACAAUCAAUUACAAGGUAAGUAGCUCAGACUCAUUUUAAAGGUUUCAGGCUGACAAGGGAAAAAAAAUAACAAACAUACACCAUUUGCAAAAUACAAUAUGUUCUUUCUUUUACAGUCUAUGUAGAUAUCUAAUUUAAGUCAUUUAUGUACAGGACAGGGGUGCAGAGAUUAUAACUGAACAGAGGAAAGUGGGAGAACUGGUUACACUGUGGAUUAAGAUAUAAGGCAUUCUUGCACAUGAUCUUAUGCUCUGAUUGGCCAAGAGGAUAGUUUACUUAAAACUCUCUUAAUUCAAAUCGAGCAGGAAACAGCAGAGUGAUGACUAACUACAAAGAAGACGUCAUACCAGAUUCAUCCACAGAAAAGGACUGACAGAAGUACUAAUUAAAAUCUAUAAAUUAAAAUAAAAUCUUGAAACAGCUGUAUGACCAUAGCUUUAAACCUAACCCUAACUAAAUUUAAAAAAGUUGAGGACAUGUAAAAAAUGUAAAAGAACAAAUACUUUUGGCUAAUUUCUUUCCUGCGGUGCAUUAGUCAAACCCAGAGAGAACUGAAAAGUCUUGGGCUGAUGUCGUGUCUGUUGAGUGAAUUGCGUGAACUAGAAACUAGAGACCAACUUGUGAUGGGAUCAAACCAGCUGCAGCACCAAGGAGUUGUAGGACUAGCCCCAUAGAGGAAAGUAGUGAGUUUAUACACCAAAUAUGACUCUUCGUAUGGUGAUUUACAAAUACAUAUACAAUACAAAAGACUGAUAGGGGCGUGAUAACAGACAGGGCCACUGGGCCUCUUGCCCCCCUACUUCUAAUCUUUUUUUGGGAACUUAUGGUUUAGACCACAACUGCGUUUGAUCCCAACUACACACCUGUAAAGUUGUGAUGUUACUGUGUUCACCUGCUUUUGUGGCAGUUCCCACUAGAGUAGGUGUCCCCAGGACCACAUUUAGUCUUGAUGACACGUGCAGACUCACAAAGUGAGACAAUAACCACUACCCUAGGAUCUAAAAGGUGGGGGACACUAUCAAUGAGGAAUGGAUUUACAUGGCCCAGGCACUGAGGAAGGAACUACAGAUUGAUUCAGAGAGGACAAAGGAGGGACGGUUCAAUAUGAUGAGGCACGGGGGUUGUUCUUCAAAACGAGCAAUUAUCAUCUCUCCUGUCAUUCAUUUCGGCUUAACCCAAUUCAUCACCUGUUCAUUCUUCACUCAUCCAUCAACAAGCGUAAUCUUUUGAUAUUUUUGAAACAGAAUAUUAAUUAAUUCGCCAUGUU
Astatotilapia calliptera (eastern happy) is the source of this 1320-nucleotide long non-coding RNA. The record is from Ensembl. NCBI's taxonomy places the organism in Eukaryota, Metazoa, Chordata, Actinopteri, Cichliformes, Cichlidae.